This is a long non-coding RNA of Cervus elaphus (red deer), 1320 nucleotides long. RefSeq lists it as uncharacterized. The transcript has 3 exons. The record is from RefSeq and is a predicted model, not a curated record. NCBI's taxonomy places the organism in Eukaryota, Metazoa, Chordata, Mammalia, Artiodactyla, Cervidae.
UCACCUGGUCAGAGUUCUGGUCCUCCAUCCCAUCCACUCAGAGAUGGGCUCAGUGGGGCCAGAAACCCAGAUUUCAGUUUUGUGAUUGUGUUUUUGGCCGCCCAGGAAAUUCUGGCACUGCUGGUUCUUCGACAGUAGAAACCCUUCUCUUGGAGCCAGGAGCGAUGGAAGCUGGAACCCCCAGAAAGUCCAUAACACGGCUGCUUCUGCAGGAGCUCUUUUUCUCCUGGCCCUGCCGGGGACAUGCCCUGGAGGACUUGGGCAGGCAGGUCACACGGGGGCCCCAGUCCCCCUCCUCGGUCCGGGGACAGUCUGACGGCCCAUCGUUCAUCUCACCUCAUCCCGUGUCAUCCCAUUUCAUUUCAGGCAGGAGCCGGCCAGCCUGAACCCUGCUUCCCCAGCCGUGAAGUGGAGACAGUAAUACCUGCUCGGAUGACCCCAGCGCACCACUGCAGGAGUGUUCAAUGACAAAGGACUGAUGCGAAGACUCACCAAUGAAGGAUGAAGCCACCCUCUGCAGGCGGCUGCUCUGCAGUGCUGGGAUGACCUGUUUUUCAGGACUCCUACUGCUGUAUUCACAUGAAACACAAGAUGUGAUGUCUGCAGGGGCUGCCUUGAAUCUUCCCUCUGUUAGUUUCCCUUAGGGAGGUGCAAGAAAAGGAGACCAUCAUCUACUGGGCCCCUAUCAGCACGUGGGCCCUGACCUAGGCACCCACCCACCAGCUAACGAUGGACUUUGACCUCAGAUCUGGGCUGCCUGUCACGACUGCACCUGGUCUGGGUGGCCUCAAAAGCUGGACUCACCUCAAAAAAGCUGCCUGGAGCACCUACACUUGGCCUUUGUGUGGCCUGGGCUUCCUCAUAGUAUGGAGCCUUGGGUGGCUUGCCAUCUUGAUGGAAGCUCAGGGCACCUCGAGGGAGCAGAACCAGGGGGAAGGUGCAUGACCUUCUAGGGCCUCACCAUGGAAGGCACAUGGCAUCACUUAACUGGAUGGAAGUCACCUGUCCAAUCAGAUUCAGGAGACGUGGGCCCCUCCUCUAGAGGGAAGACACUUCAAAGGAUUUGUGGCCAUGUUUUUAAAGCUGCUUCACCUUCCUUUUCCAUAUGUUAAAUUUCCAUUUGCAAUGGGUCUAUUUCUGGACACUAAUAUAUUCUACUAGUCUAUUUGUCUAUUAUGCACAUAUAUCCCCAGUGCUUUAAUUACUAUACAUUAUUAUGUUUUGUUUUAUCAUUUGUUAUUGUUUUCCAGUAGUCAUGUAUGGAUGUGAGAGUUGGACUAUAAAGAAAGCUGAGCACUGAAGAAUUGAUGCUUUUGAACU